Molecule: ribosomal RNA, 330 nt
Filed under: uncultured eukaryote
Lineage: Eukaryota
Description: partial 18S ribosomal RNA
Rfam family: Eukaryotic small subunit ribosomal RNA
Source: RNAcentral
CCCUUAGAUGUUCUGGGCCGCACGCGCGCUACACUGACGAAGCCAGCGAGCAUGUCCUACGCCGAUAGGUGCGGGGAAUCUUGUGAAACUUUGUCGUGCUGGGGAUUGAUUUUUGAAAUUCUUGAUCAUGAACGAGGAAUUCCUAGUAAGCGCAAGUCAGCAGCUUGCGUUGAUUACGUCCCUGCCCUUUGUACACACCGCCCGUCGCUACUACCGAUUGGAUGGUUUAGUGAGCUCUCUGGAUUGGCGCCGCCGUUCCCAGCGAUGGGCGCGGCGGAUGCUGAGAAGCUGAGCUAACUGCGCUAUCUAGAGGAAGUAAAAGUCGUAACA